Molecule: ribosomal RNA, 244 nt
Filed under: uncultured bacterium
Lineage: Bacteria
Description: partial 16S ribosomal RNA
Rfam family: Bacterial small subunit ribosomal RNA
Source: RNAcentral
GGCUAGCGUUGCUCGGAAUCACUGGGCGUAAAGCGCACGUAGGCGGACUCUUAAGUCGGUGGUGAAAUCCUGGAGCUCAACUCCAGAACUGCCUUCGAUACUGAGAGUCUCGAGUCCGGGAGAGGUGAGUGGAACUGCGAGUGUAGAGGUGAAAUUCGUAGAUAUUCGCAAGAACACCAGUGGCGAAGGCGGCUCACUGGCCCGGUACUGACGCUGAGGUGCGAAAGCGUGGGGAGCAAACAGG